UACGUAGGGGGCAAGCGUUGUCCGGAAUUAUUGGGCGUAAAGAGCGCGUAGGCGGUCCGGUAAGUCGGCUGUGAAAGUCAAGGGCUCAACCUUUGAAAGCCGGUGGAUACUGUGAGGCUAGAGUACGGAAGAGGCGAGUGGAAUUCCUGGUGUAGCGGUGGAAUGCGCAGAUAUCAGGAGGAACACCAAUAGCGAAGGCAGCUCGCUGGGACGUUACUGACACUGAGGCGCGAAAGCGUGGGGAGCGAACAGG
This 253-nucleotide ribosomal RNA is filed under the name uncultured bacterium. Its description in RNAcentral is "partial 16S ribosomal RNA". It matches the Rfam family "Bacterial small subunit ribosomal RNA", at positions 524 to 776 of the family's 1533-position model. The record is from RNAcentral.